This is a long non-coding RNA of Lycium ferocissimum, 406 nucleotides long. RefSeq lists it as uncharacterized. The record is from RefSeq and is a predicted model, not a curated record. Lineage: Eukaryota; Viridiplantae; Streptophyta; Magnoliopsida; Solanales; Solanaceae. The transcript has 2 exons.
UCACCUCUGUUAAUUGCUCUGUUUUUUUCUCCUCUGUUUCUUCCUCUGUUUUUUUUUUUCUCUGUUUGGACCAGUGAGGCAUUGGUUGUUUUGCUCCUAUUUUUCUGUUCAAUAAUUGUUUAAAUUUUGUUACACAGUUAUAAACAGUAGGUUCAAAUUCAAUGGAAUUUCUAGACUUUUAGUAUCUACUAUCUACUUUUAAUUUUUGAAUUGAAAUAUUUGCUAAUAUGUUAUUACUAGUGAGAUUUUGAUUAUUUACAUAUGCAAUUAAAUAUUUUAAUUUUUUGGUAUUUAUUGGCGCUGCACUUCGAAAAGGCGAGCGCCUCGCCGCGCGCCGCGCCUUAAGGCGAGGCAGGCCCUUGUCGCCUUUAGUCGCCGCGCGCCGUCCAAAACACUGCAUGUCAUG